GAUGAACGCUGGCGGCGUGCCUAAUACAUGCAAGUCGAGCGAAUGGAUGGGAGCUUGCUCCCUGAAGUUAGCGGCGGACGGGUGAGUAACACGUGGGCAACCUACCUACAAGAUUGGGAUAACUUCGGGAAACCGGAGCUAAUACCGGGUAAUACAUUGGAUCGCAUGGUUCGAUGUUGAAAGAUGGCUUCGGCUAUCACUUGUAGAUGGGCCCGCGACGCAUUAGCUAGUUGGUGAGGUAACGGCUCACCAAGGCCACGAUGCGUAGCCGACCUGAGAGGGUGAUCGGCCACACUGGGACUGAGACACGGCCCAGACUCCUACGGGAGGCAGCAGUAGGGAAUCUUCCGCAAUGGACGAAAGUCUGACGGAGCAACGCCGCGUGAGUGAUGAAGGCCUUCGGGUCGUAAAGCUCUGUUGUUAGGGAAGAACAAGUACCGUUUGAAUAAGGCGGUACCUUGACGGUACCUAACCAGAAAGCCACGGCUAACUACGUGCCAGCCGCCGCCGUAAGAC
Molecule: ribosomal RNA, 516 nt
Filed under: uncultured bacterium
Lineage: Bacteria
Description: bacterial SSU rRNA
Rfam family: Bacterial small subunit ribosomal RNA
Source: RNAcentral